RNAcentral lists this ribosomal RNA (505 nucleotides) under uncultured bacterium. Its description in RNAcentral is "bacterial SSU rRNA". It matches the Rfam family "Bacterial small subunit ribosomal RNA", at positions 8 to 507 of the family's 1533-position model. The record is from RNAcentral.
AGAGUUUGAUCAUGGCUCAGAUUGAACGCUGGCGGCAUGCUUUACACAUGCAAGUCGAACGGCAGCACGGGGGCAACCUGGUGGCGAGUGGCGAACGGGUGAGUAAUAUAUCGGAACGUACCCGGAAAUGGGGGAUAACGUAGCGAAAGUUACGCUAAUACCGCAUAUGCCCUAAGGGGGAAAGCGGGGGACUCGCAAGAACCUCGCGUUUUCGGAGCGGCCGAUAUCGGAUUAGCUAGUAGGUGAGGUAAAGGCUCACCUAGGCGACGAUCCGUAGCUGGUCUGAGAGGACGACCAGCCACACUGGAACUGAGACACGGUCCAGACUCCUACGGGAAGCAGCAGUGGGGAAUUUUGGACAAUGGGCGCAAGCCUGAUCCAGCCAUGCCGCGUGAGUGAAGAAGGCCUUCGGGUUGUAAAGCUCUUUCAGCCGGAAAGAAAACGCACGGGUUAAUAACCUGUGUGGAUGACGGUACCGGAAGAAGAAGCACCGGCUAACUACGUG